This 189-nucleotide ribosomal RNA is filed under the name Triticum aestivum (bread wheat). Its description in RNAcentral is "partial small subunit ribosomal RNA". Lineage: Eukaryota; Viridiplantae; Streptophyta; Magnoliopsida; Poales; Poaceae. The record is from RNAcentral.
AUGAAAUUGUAUAAGCGAUUUUUUUAUUUCCUUAGACUUAGACCGUGCAAGACAAGAAUUUUUUGCUAUUUACGAUUUCAUAUUCUUGUUACUAGAUGUUCUAUAGGAAUAAGAAGAAAUCGCAACUCCUUUGCGCUACACAUAAAAUUGGAUUUCGAAGGUCCAUUUUUUUUUCAGAAUCCUCGGUGA